ACGCUUUUUCUUUCACCCGAGCUUGCUCCACCGAAAGAAAAAGAGUGGCGAACGGGUGAGUAACACGUGGGUAACCUGCCCAUCAGAAGGGGAUAACACUUGGAAACAGGUGCUAAUACCGUAUAACACUAUUUUCCGCAUGGAAGAAAGUUGAAAGGCGCUUUUGCGUCACUGAUGGAUGGACCCGCGGUGCAUUAGCUAGUUGGUGAGGUAACGGCUCACCAAGGCAACGAUGCAUAGCCGACCUGAGAGGGUGAUCGGCCACACUGGGACUGAGACACGGCCCAGACUCCUACGGGAGGCAGCAGUAGGGAAUCUUCGGCAAUGGACGAAAGUCUGACCGAGCAACGCCGCGUGAGUGAAGAAGGUUUUCGGAUCGUAAAACUCUGUUGUUAGAGAAGAACAAGGAUGAGAGUAAAAUGUUCAUCCCUUGACGGUAUCUAACCAGAAAGCCACGGCUAACUACGUGCCAGCAGCCGCGGUAAUACGUAGGUGGCAAGCGUUGUCCGGAUUUAUUGGGCGUAAAGCGAGCGCAGGCGGUUUCUUAAGUCUGAUGUGAAAGCCCCCGGCUCAACCGGGGAGGGUCAUUGGAAACUGGGAGACUUGAGUGCAGAAGAGGAGAGUGGAAUUCCAUGUGUAGCGGUGAAAUGCGUAGAUAUAUGGAGGAACACCAGUGGCGAAGGCGGCUCUCUGGUCUGUAACUGACGCUGAGGCUCGAAAGCGUGGGGAGCGAACAGGAUUAGAUACCCUGGUAUUCCACGCCGUAAACGAUGAGUGCUAAGUGUUGG
Molecule: ribosomal RNA, 788 nt
Filed under: Enterococcus sp. C144
Lineage: Bacteria; Bacillati; Bacillota; Bacilli; Lactobacillales; Enterococcaceae
Description: bacterial SSU rRNA
Rfam family: Bacterial small subunit ribosomal RNA
Source: RNAcentral